RNAcentral lists this ribosomal RNA (459 nucleotides) under uncultured bacterium. RNAcentral's name for it is "partial 16S ribosomal RNA". It matches the Rfam family "Bacterial small subunit ribosomal RNA", at positions 338 to 795 of the family's 1533-position model. The record is from RNAcentral.
CCUACGGGUGGCAGCAGUGAGGAAUAUUGGUCAAUGGCCGGAAGGCUGAACCAGCCAAGCCGCGUGAAGGACGAAGGUUCUAAGCAUUGUAAACUUCUUUUGUCAAGGGACAAAAUCAGGCUCGAGAGCCUGACCGAGGGUACUUUAAGAAAAAGCAUCGGCUAACACCGUGCCAGCAGCCGCGGUAAUACUGAGGAUGCGGGCGUUAUCCGGAUUUAUUGGGUUUAAAGGGUGCGUAGGCGGACUGUUAAGUCAGCGGUAAAAGCCCGGGGCUCAACCCCGGCGUGCAGUUGAAACUGGCUGUCUUGAGAUGUCGAGAGGUAUGCGGAAUGCGCAGUGUAGCGGUGAAAUGCUGAGAUAGUGGGAAGAACACCGAUGGCGAAGGCAGCAUACCGGCGGCGAUCUGACGCUGAGGCACGAAAGCGUGGGUAUCGAACAGGAUUAGAUACCCGAGUAGUC